This 305-nucleotide ribosomal RNA is filed under the name uncultured bacterium. RNAcentral describes it as "bacterial SSU rRNA". It matches the Rfam family "Bacterial small subunit ribosomal RNA", at positions 334 to 635 of the family's 1533-position model. The record is from RNAcentral.
CAGGCCUACGGGAGGCAGCAGUGAGGAAUAUUGGUCAAUGGGCGGAAGCCUGAACCAGCCAAGUCGCGUGAGGGAAUAAGGCCCUACGGGUCGUAAACCUCUUUUGCCGGGGAGCAAGGGCGGGGACGUGUCCCGGCCCGGAGAGUACCCGGAGAAAAAGCAUCGGCUAACUCCGUGCCAGCAGCCGCGGUAAUACGGAGGAUGCGAGCGUUAUCCGGAUUUACUGGGUGUAAAGGGCGUGCAGCCGGGCUGACAAGUCAGAUGUGAAAUCCCGCGGCUCAACCGCGGAACUGCGUUUGAAACUG